Non-coding RNA from Macaca mulatta (Rhesus monkey), 1847 nucleotides. Lineage: Eukaryota; Metazoa; Chordata; Mammalia; Primates; Cercopithecidae. The record is from RefSeq and is a predicted model, not a curated record.
CCGGGGGGUCCAGCACUAUUAGCUGAAAAUCAAGCAAAGGAAAAAACAUUGAGCAUUUUCAUUAUCCAAAAGGGAGUUGGACAAUUCAUUUAUGAACCAAAGACCAAAACCUAAUAGAGCUAGAUUCAAAGAAAACCCACUGGGGAUUAAUUUUAAUUAUAAGUGGUUAGAUGAAAUAAUUCCAAAAUAAAAUAUUACCAAAUCUAAUCUAAAAGCACACACAAGGAAUUGUCCCAUGAUCAAGUAAGGUUGUUUUGGGAAUGCAAGGAUGGUUCGGCAUCAGAAAGCUGAUUGAUAACUCAUCCCAUCAGAAGUCAGAGAGAAAAAGGAUCAAUUCUCUACAUGCUGAAAAUGCCUUUGCCAAAAUCCAAGGUGUUAUUUCUGGUAAUACCUCUUAGAAACAGAAGGAAACUGUGUUAACAUGAUAAAGAUGAUCUCUUCAAGCCAAGAGCCAUCAUCCUCCCAUUAACAGUCAGGAACAAGGGCCAGUUCUCUGUCCCCAGGACCAGCCAGUUACCAACAACUCCACAGAAUGGACAGCUUCCCUGUGCAGAGCCUGAUACACCAACCAAGCCUCUCACUGGACAUCAAAAAUCUGAAUCAGCAUAAGCAAGGGCAGGCAAAACAUUGUCCAGAUGUCAGUCUUCCCCUAAGUUAACACAAAAAUUUAUUGCAAUUUCAACUGAAAUCUCCACGGUGUUUUUGGAAGGAAUUUGUCCAAUGACUUAAAAGAUUACUUGGAAGAAUUAAAUGCUUGAGAAUAGCAAAGAACAUUUUUUUAAAAGGAGGCAGAAUAAGGGAUGCAAUGUGUUCACCCAAACAGUGACUAUCUCAUAUGACACCACUAACUAGAGAGAGUGGACUGAUGCUGGGCAAACAGGAAUGGAGCAGAACGCCCAGAAAGAACGAGUACAAAGACAAAGGCUUCCAUUUGAUAAAGAGUCUUUGACAUCACUGAGAAAAUGAAGGAUUCAACAAAUAAUGGGGAGAAAUGUUACAUCCCAAUCUAAUAUCUAUCAAAACAAAUUAUAGGCUGGGCGUGGUGGCUCACAACUGUAAUCCCAGCACUUUGGGAGGCUGAGGCAGGCAGAUCACAAGGUCAGGAGAUCAAGACCAUCCUGGCUACUAUGGUGAAACCCCAUCUCUACUAAAAAUACAAAAAAUUUGCCACCUGUAGUCCCAGCUACUCGGGAGGGUGAGGUAGGAGAAUGGCGUGAACCCGGGAGGCAGAGCUUGCAGUGAGCCGAGAUCACACCACUGCACUCCAGACUGGGCAACAGAGCGAGACUCCGUCUCAAAAACAAAAACAAAACAAAACAAAAACCCCUCUUUCCCUGCCGCCGCAGAGUCGCGCGGAGGCGGAGGCUUGGGUGCGUUCAAGAUUCCGCUUCACCCGUAACCCACCACCAUGGCCGAGGAAGGCAUUGCUGCUGGAAGUGUAAUGGACGUUAAUACUGCUUUACAAGAGGUGCUGAAGACCGCCCUCAUCCACGAUGGCCUAGCACGUGGAAUUCGCGAAGCUGCCAAAGCCUUAGACAAGCGCCAAGCCCAUCUUUGUGUGCUUGCAUCUAACUGUGAUGAGCCUAUGUAUGUCAAGUUGGUGGAGGCCCUUUGUGCUGAACACCAGAUCAACCUAAUUAAGGUUGAUGACAACAAGAAACUAGGAGAAUGGGUAGGCCUCUGUAAAAUUGACAGAGAGGGGAAACCCCGUAAAAUGGUUGGUUGCAGUUGUGUAGUAGUUAAGGACUAUGGAAAGGAGUCUCAGGCCAAGGAUGUUAUCGAAGAGUACUUCAAAUGCAAGAAAUGAAUAAAUCAAUCUUUGGCUCACAAAAAAAAAAAAAAAAAAA